CUUGUACUCCCUCCGUCCGAAAAUACUUGUCAUUGAAAUGGAUGUAUCUAUAUGUAUUUUAGUUCUAGACACAUCCAUUUUGAUGACAAGUAAUUUCGGAUAGAGGUGGUACUUG
This is a non-coding RNA of Triticum aestivum (bread wheat), 115 nucleotides long. NCBI's taxonomy places the organism in Eukaryota, Viridiplantae, Streptophyta, Magnoliopsida, Poales, Poaceae. The record is from Rfam.